RNAcentral lists this ribosomal RNA (462 nucleotides) under uncultured bacterium. Its description in RNAcentral is "partial 16S ribosomal RNA". It matches the Rfam family "Bacterial small subunit ribosomal RNA", at positions 28 to 507 of the family's 1533-position model. The record is from RNAcentral.
GACGAACGCUGGCGGCGUGCUUAACACAUGCAAGUCGAGCGGAAAGGCCCUUCGUGGUACUCGAGCGGCGAACGGGUGAGUAACACGUGAGUAACCUGCCCCAGACUUUGGGAUAACCCUCGGAAACGGGGGCUAAUACCGGAUACGACACAGCUUCGCAUGGGGUCUGUGUGGAAAGUUUUUCGGUUUUGGAUGGGCUCGCGGCCUAUCAGCUUGUUGGUGGGGUGAUGGCCUACCAAGGCGACGACGGGUAGCCGGCCUGAGAGGGCGACCGGCCACACUGGGACUGAGACACGGCCCAGACUCCUACGGGAGGCAGCAGUGGGGAAUAUUGCACAAUGGGCGGAAGCCUGAUGCAGCGACGCCGCGUGAGGGAUGACGGCCUUCGGGUUGUAAACCUCUUUCAGCAGGGACGAAGCGUAAGUGACGGUACCUGCAGAAGAAGCGCCGGCCAACUACGUG